RNAcentral lists this long non-coding RNA (1243 nucleotides) under Lathyrus oleraceus (garden pea). Its description in RNAcentral is "Pisum sativum (pea) long non-coding RNA (PSAT_LNC033415)". Lineage: Eukaryota; Viridiplantae; Streptophyta; Magnoliopsida; Fabales; Fabaceae. The record is from RNAcentral.
AUUUGUCGUAGUUCUUCGAAUCAAGAAUUGGAAGGUUGGUGGGUAUUUUAUCGUUUGAAACGGACAUGAUUGCAGCGGAAUAGGAUCAGAACCAAAGCUCCUGAUGCCAAAUGUUGGAACAAGAUCAAACUUGUUCAAGGUGAAUCAAUGGUGGAAGUUGUUAUUUUGGUGGUAGAAAGGUCAAUUGAGGAAGAUGAUGAAAAUAGAGAAAUAAGAAAAAUUGAGAUGAGAAUAUUGAAUGGCAUUAUCUGAAGGCAUUAAACACAAAUAUUACAAUUGAGGUCUAUUUAUAGUGUAGAGACCACUAAACAAACAGACUAAACAAAGCAUCCAAAACUGCCUAAUAAAACAAAAUUGUUUUUCUAUUUUGCCUUCAGGAAAUUGCUAUUUCUGCAGCAAAUAAGAAGCCUUCCAAAAUAGCUUCUCAAAUAAGCUAUUCUCCAAAAACACUUCAAAAGCCAAUUACACUGCAUUUGACUUAUUCUAAUCAUCCAACAAUAAUCACUAAAUCUCUCCUAAAACAUAAAUUCAGCUGAACUAGUAUCCUAUGUUCUGUAAUUAUGUUGGACUUCAGAUAUAAUGAUCAGGAUACAUGUUUCAUAAAAAAAACUCGUUUGGUUCUAAAGAAUUAGAACAAAUGUUGGCCAAAAAACGAGUAGCAGAAAGGAGAAAAGGUUUAUCAGAGUAGAAGGGAAAAGAGAGAAAAAGAUAUUGUUCUUUUCAUAAAUUGUUAAAGGGGAAUAAAGUGAAUGUGGAUAUGUUUUUCUUCCUGCAGAGAACUAAAACAAGAGAUUUAUGUCUUCCUAUCUAUUUUUUAUUCAUGUGUGCUACAACAAGAUUUUUAUUGUAUUAUUGAUAGAAUUCAAUAUAGAUUAACCAAGUAAAUACAAACAGGCAGCAUAAAAAGUAAAACAAUGCGAUCCAUAUUUUGGAUCUAAAUGUACAACCAAACAGCAAAUACUCAAAAUAUAACAAAGAAAAAUUCGAUCUGGACUCUUACCGAAAGCCGAGCUACGAUGUUGUUGUCGGUGUUGAAAGUGAUGCUGCCUCGGGUACAAAAUCUCAAGCACCGUUGGAGAGUGAUGGUUUUGUGAAGUUUUGGUGGUUGAGUUGGUGGCCGGAAGUGGAGAGCACCGGUAGUUGUUAUUCGGAGAAGGGAAAGUGGAAGGUGAUUUGGAUGUUGUUUGCGGAUGCUUCAUGAGUUCACCAGCUGGUAGGUGUUUUUUCUUUCCGUUGCAGUCCG